Molecule: ribosomal RNA, 590 nt
Filed under: uncultured bacterium
Lineage: Bacteria
Description: bacterial SSU rRNA
Rfam family: Bacterial small subunit ribosomal RNA
Source: RNAcentral
ACUCCUACGGGAGGCAGCAGUGGGGAAUAUUGGACAAUGGGGGGAACCCUGAUCCAGCCAUGCCGCGUGUGUGAAGAAGGCCUUAUGGUUGUAAAGCACUUUAAGUGAGGAGGAGGCUACUGAGACUAAUACUCUUGGAUAGUGGACGUUACUCGCAGAAUAAGCACCGGCUAACUCUGUGCCAGCAGCCGCGGUAAUACAGAGGGUGCGAGCGUUAAUCGGAUUUACUGGGCGUAAAGCGUGCGUAGGCGGCUUUUUAAGUCGGAUGUGAAAUCCCCGAGCUUAACUUGGGAAUUGCAUUCGAUACUGGGAAGCUAGAGUAUGGGAGAGGAUGGUAGAAUUCCAGGUGUAGCGGUGAAAUGCGUAGAGAUCUGGAGGAAUACCGAUGGCGAAGGCAGCCAUCUGGCCUAAUACUGACGCUGAGGUACGAAAGCAUGGGGAGCAAACAGGAUUAGAUACCCUGGUAGUCCAUGCCGUAAACGAUGUCUACUAGCCGUUGGGGCCUUUGAGGCUUUAGUGGCGCAGCUAACGCGAUAAGUAGACCGCCUGGGGAGUACGGUCGCAAGACUAAAACUCAAAGGAAUUGACGG